CCCUUAGAUGUUCUGGGCCGCACGCGCGCUACACUGACGAAGUCAGCGAGCAUGUCCUACGCCGACAGGUGCGGGGAAUCUUGUCAAACUUCGUCGUGAUGGGGGUUGAUUAUUGAAAUUCUUGAUCAUCAACGAGGAAUUCCUAGUAAGCGCAAGUCAGCAGCUUGCGUUGAUUACGUCCCUGCCCUUUGUACACACCGCCCGUCGCUACUACCGAUUGAAUGGUUUAGUGAGAUCUUCGGAUUGGCGCCACUGCGGCUCAGCAAUGGGCUCGGUGGAUGCCGAAAAGUUGAUCAAACUUGAUCAUUUAGAGGAAGUAAAAGUCGUAACA
Molecule: ribosomal RNA, 331 nt
Filed under: uncultured eukaryote
Lineage: Eukaryota
Description: partial 18S ribosomal RNA
Rfam family: Eukaryotic small subunit ribosomal RNA
Source: RNAcentral